RNAcentral lists this ribosomal RNA (254 nucleotides) under uncultured bacterium. RNAcentral describes it as "partial 16S ribosomal RNA". It matches the Rfam family "Bacterial small subunit ribosomal RNA", at positions 524 to 776 of the family's 1533-position model. The record is from RNAcentral.
CACGUAGGGACCAAGCGUUGUCCGGAUUCAUUGGGCGUAAAGAGCUCGUAGGCGGUUCGAUAAGUCGGGUGUGAAACCUCCAGGCUCAACCUGGAGACGCCACCCGAUACUGUCGUGACUAGAGUCCAGUAGGGGAGCGUGGAAUUCCUGGUGUAGCGGUGAAAUGCGUAGAUAUCGGGAGGAACACCAGUGGCGAAGGCGGCUACCUGGCCCAUUCUUGACGCUGAGGCGCGAAAGCUAGGGGAGCAAACGGG